GACGUAGGGUGCGAGCGUUGUCCGGAAUUAUUGGGCGUAAAGAGCUCGUAGGCGGUUUGUCGCGUCGAAUGUGAAAACCCGGGGCUCAACCCCGGGCCUGCAUUCGAUACGGGCAGGCUAGAGUUCGGUAGGGGAGUCUGGAAUUCCUGGUGUAGCGGUGAAAUGCGCAGAUAUCAGGAGGAACACCGGUGGCGAAGGCGGGACUCUGGGCCGAUACUGACGCUGAGGAGCGAAAGCGUGGGGAGCAAACAGG
RNAcentral lists this ribosomal RNA (253 nucleotides) under uncultured bacterium. Its description in RNAcentral is "partial 16S ribosomal RNA". It matches the Rfam family "Bacterial small subunit ribosomal RNA", at positions 524 to 776 of the family's 1533-position model. The record is from RNAcentral.